UACGUAGGUGGCAAGCGUUGUCCGGAAUUACUGGGUGUAAAGCGCGUGUAGGCGGGAGGCCAAGUCUGCUGUGAAAUCGCCCGGCUCAACUGGGCGGGGUCGGUGGAAACUGGUCACCUGGAGGACGGUAGAGGCGAGUGGAAUUCCCGGUGUAGUGGUGAAAUGCGUAGAGAUCGGGAGGAACACCAGUGGCGAAGGCGGCUCGCUGGGCCGGACCUGACGCUGAGACGCGAAGGCGUGGGGAGCGAACAGG
RNAcentral lists this ribosomal RNA (253 nucleotides) under uncultured bacterium. Its description in RNAcentral is "partial 16S ribosomal RNA". It matches the Rfam family "Bacterial small subunit ribosomal RNA", at positions 524 to 776 of the family's 1533-position model. The record is from RNAcentral.